GACUGUUCGGUGCCUCGAUCACCCUAACUCGCGUGUCUGGAUGAGAGAAUGAGGUUGGGACUUGGAGGUGUCCUUGUCGCUACCGUGGGCAAGCGGUUCUCAAGGUGCUCAUAAGAUAUGCCAGGCUCAACUGGGGAACUCCUUCCGUUUGAUUUCAUCACGGUUACCUAGAGCCUCACACUUUAAUAGCAAUGACUAUAUUUCUGAAUAGAUAUUUAACUUAUUUCAUUAAAGCGACUUGCGAAAUACGUUCACUAGAGAGAUCAACUUGAUGACAAGAAUUGUGUACUUAGAAAUAUAGUCAUCGCUAUUAAAAGAGUUGUUAUAAUUUAGCAUCUUAUGCCAUUUUUAAUGGUUCUCCGCUUUUGCGUUUUUCCAAAACAGGACUUUUAUAGGUAAAAUUAUACACCUGACAGUUUUGGUUUUGGGUGUGGCUAAUCAGACAAAAAAUAUAUACACAUAAGGCUAAGUAUCUUGAAUAAUCUUAUUUUGCUAAUUGUGUGUAUGUAAGCUUUCACACUUUAAACUAGAAAUUUGUUGAAAUGAUGUAUUCCAUCGAAUUUCUGAAACAAACAUUUACGUAUGACGUUGCUGUGGAUUUGAAAGCUGUAUCUCGUUAAGUAAUAUAUUUUUCCUGACAAAGAAAAUUGAGGAGAGCAUCAGUUCCCAGCACAUUAGGGACCAAAAGUGUUAAUUCCGUACUACGUGAAGGCAGAUAAAUAGCUUAUCUUCAUUUUCAUAAUUCAUGCCUGUGAUUAUGUUUCUUCCAAAGUUUCUUUGAAGUUUGUCGAAAUGUAUUUUUUUUUCAGAAAAAAAAAUCAGUUCAGUGUUAGGUAUCCAAGAGGACAUACGUAUGAAAAUUGACAACUAUGUACAUGAUACAGAAGUAUGCACAAAUCUGCAAGAUUCAUGCCGUGUUUCAUGAGAAGUGUAUCUUGUGUAUUACUUCCACCGAACUUUGUGUGUUAUAAACGAUGUUUAUAGAUGUUAUAAACAAUGGAGCCUUAAUUUCCAGGAAGUGUUUAAUUAGCAGAUGGUUUAAACUCGCUGAUGUUUGGCCGUCAUCAUUAUAUAUAACAAUUUGGAGAUAAAAUUGUAGUAUACAAUUUGAGAAAGAAUUUUAUUUGUGAAAAAAACCCCACAAUGAUGUGAUGUUUUGAAAAAACUUCUUUAGGGAAUAACAGGAGGUGGAGGGAACACUUUGUUUUGCCAUAUUCCCUAAGGUUUAUUCAUUAUUUGCUCUUUAAAUGGACAUUUUAGGUUUGUAAGAACUUUUUUUUUUCCUUUGAAGGUAAAAGGGAUGCAUUUUAAAGAUUCACGUCUUUUGUCCCCUCGUUUUUCUCCCCCGUCCCGACAACCCACCAGUCAUGUGUUACCACCCUCAUCUUUCUUCCUCUUCCUUCUUUCUUUAAAUUAAAAAGUGAUUUUUGUUUUUUAAAACGUGAGUUAGGGAUACGGCACUGGCAGUUACACAGAAUAACGUUUCUUUCUUUGGAUUAUUUUUGGGGAACUUGAGAAAAAAAACAAAACAAAACCCAAAAUAAUGCCACACAAAACAAAGUUAUAUCGUAAGUCACAAACUGUCACAGAAAUAUAUUUCAAAAAGAAGUAAACAUUUCUACUCUAAGACAUCCAUGGGACAGCUACCAUAAGGAUUGCAGUCAAUCGAAAGCAGGAAUAUACAUUUUAUUCAACACGUGGAGCUGUCUGCAGAUCCAUUCUUAAUCACGCAAAAACCCCUUUUAACACAGGUAAUGGAGAAAUAUAUGGGGGGGGAAGGGGACCCCCCCCCCCCCCCC
Lynx canadensis (Canada lynx) is the source of this 1799-nucleotide long non-coding RNA. RefSeq lists it as uncharacterized. The record is from RefSeq and is a predicted model, not a curated record. The transcript has 3 exons. NCBI's taxonomy places the organism in Eukaryota, Metazoa, Chordata, Mammalia, Carnivora, Felidae.